RNAcentral lists this long non-coding RNA (205 nucleotides) under Mytilus galloprovincialis (Mediterranean mussel). The record is from RNAcentral. Lineage: Eukaryota; Metazoa; Mollusca; Bivalvia; Mytilida; Mytilidae.
UACCAAUGCAAAAUAAAUGUAAAAGUCCGAGUCAGCCUUUUUCCCGCCAUAUUUUAAUUCUCAAAUAUCUCGAAAAGGAGGUCCAUGACCUAUCAAUAUUGUUAGCUUAUUUUUAUCCUUAAUUGAUGCUCUACCAGCUUAUAGUAUCAAUUUUAACUUCUUAAUUUAUUAAUUUUCACCUUACCUCACCUAAGUACAUCCUUAA